AUGCUUGUUUCUUAGGCAGCGUAUUUACUAAACUUAGGGCGAUACAGAGAAGAUUAGUAUGGCCCUUGUGCAAGGAUGAUAUGCAAGUUUAUGAAGUGUUCCAUAUUUUU
Molecule: small nuclear RNA, 110 nt
Organism: Apodemus sylvaticus (European woodmouse)
Lineage: Eukaryota; Metazoa; Chordata; Mammalia; Rodentia; Muridae
Source: RefSeq, a predicted model, not a curated record